UACGUAGGGUGCAAGCGUUGUCCGGAAUUAUUGGGCGUAAAGAGCUCGUAGGCGGUUUGUCGCGUCUGCUGUGAAAACUCGAGGCUCAACCUCGAGAUGUCGGCGGAAACCAUCUGGCUAGAGUCCGGAAGAGGAGAGUGGAAUUCCUGGUGUAGCGGUGAAAUGCGCAGAUAUCAGGAAGAACACCCGUGGCGAAGGCGGCUCUCUGGGACGGUACUGACGCUGAGACGCGAAAGCGUGGGGAGCGAACAGG
Molecule: ribosomal RNA, 253 nt
Filed under: uncultured bacterium
Lineage: Bacteria
Description: partial 16S ribosomal RNA
Rfam family: Bacterial small subunit ribosomal RNA
Source: RNAcentral